Molecule: ribosomal RNA, 480 nt
Filed under: uncultured Paracoccaceae bacterium
Lineage: Bacteria; Pseudomonadati; Pseudomonadota; Alphaproteobacteria; Rhodobacterales; Paracoccaceae
Description: bacterial SSU rRNA
Source: RNAcentral
UGGGGAAUCUUGGACAAUGGGGGCAACCCUGAUCCAGCCAUGCCGCGUGAGUGAWGAAGGCCUUAGGGUCGUAAAGCUCUUUCGCCUGUGAUGAUAAUGACAGUAGCAGGUAAAGAAACCCCGGCUAACUCCGUGCCAGCAGCCGCGGUAAUACGGAGGGGGUUAGCGUUGUUCGGAAUUACUGGGCGUAAAGCGCGCGUAGGCGGAUUGGAAAGUUGGGGGUGAAAUCCCGGGGCUCAACCCCGGAACUGCCUCCAAAACUGYCAGUCUAGAGUUCGAGAGAGGUGAGUGGAAUUCCAAGUGUAGAGGUGAAAUUCGUAGAUAUUUGGAAGAACACCAGUGGCGAAGGCGGCUCCUGGCUCGAUACUGACGCUGAGGUGCGAAAGUGUGGGGAGCAAACAGGAUUAGAUACCCUGGUAGUCCACACCGUAAACGAUGAAUGCCAGUGUCGGGCAGUAUACUMUUCGGUGACACACCUAA